RNAcentral lists this ribosomal RNA (254 nucleotides) under uncultured bacterium. Its description in RNAcentral is "partial 16S ribosomal RNA". It matches the Rfam family "Bacterial small subunit ribosomal RNA", at positions 79 to 334 of the family's 1533-position model. The record is from RNAcentral.
UCUUUUCUUUGCUGGCGACCGGCGCACGGGUGAGUAACACGUACUCCACUGCCUUUACUCGGGGAUAGCCUUUCGAAAGAAAGAUUAAUACCCGAUAGCAUAAUGAUUCCGCAUGGUUUCAUUAUUAAAGGAUUCCGGUAAAGGAUGGGGAUGCGUUCCAUUAGGUUGUUGGUGAGGUAACGGCCCACCAAGCCUUCGAUGGAUAGGGGUUCUGAGAGGAAGGUCCCCCACAUUGGAACUGAGACACGGUCCAA